CCAUGGCGCAGCGGUUAGCGCAGAGGACUCAUAAUCCUUUGGUCGUAGGUUCGAAUCCUACUGGGCC
This 67-nucleotide transfer RNA is filed under the name bovine gut metagenome. It matches the Rfam family "tRNA", at positions 5 to 66 of the family's 71-position model. From Rfam's summary of the family: Transfer RNA (tRNA) molecules are approximately 80 nucleotides in length. Their secondary structure includes four short double-helical elements and three loops (D, anti-codon, and T loops). The record is from RNAcentral.